UACGUAGGCAGCGAGCGUUGUUCGGAGUUACUGGGCGUAAAGAGUGCGUAGGCGGUUUUCUAAGUUUGGUGUGAAAUCUCCCGGCUCAACUGGGAGGGUGCGCCGAAGACUGGAAGGCUUGAGUAUGGGAGAGGUAAGCGGAAUUCCUGGUGUAGCGGUGAAAUGCGUAGAUAUCAGGAGGAACACCGAUGGCGAAGGCAGGUCUCUGGGCUGACACUGACGCUCAUGCACGAAAGCGUGGGGAGCAAACAGG
Molecule: ribosomal RNA, 253 nt
Filed under: uncultured bacterium
Lineage: Bacteria
Description: partial 16S ribosomal RNA
Rfam family: Bacterial small subunit ribosomal RNA
Source: RNAcentral